RNAcentral lists this long non-coding RNA (744 nucleotides) under Monodelphis domestica (gray short-tailed opossum). Its description in RNAcentral is "lncRNA (ENSMODG00000037362.1)". The record is from RNAcentral. Lineage: Eukaryota; Metazoa; Chordata; Mammalia; Didelphimorphia; Didelphidae.
CCCAAAGGGUCAGGAGAACCCAGGCAGUCCUCUGGGUGACUAAUGCAGCAGGCAGGCCUGAUCACCGCCGCCACUUCCUGGGUUUUCUUUGUCAAAAAUAAAACAAAAUGGAAGCAUGAAAAUCUGGAGUCGGGUCCUGGGCAGCCAUGGGGAAGAAGGAAACCCAGUUGCACACUCUCCCAUCUUUUUAUGAGCUCAGGACAAAAUAGUCCAGGGGGUGUCCCCGUGAAGGUCUCCUUGUGUUUGCCAUUAACCACUCAAAGGACCACCAUCCUGGUUGGAGUCACCCAGAAAGCCAUGGAAUCCAUUUGCCAGAUGGAGAUCCUUCCCAAAUACCAACCCAUGCUGAUCUAUGCUUUUCUUUAAAAGCCACACAGUUCACCAGCUGUUCCAUACUAUCCCGGACUUGGAUCUGUACUGUUUCAUAAAUGGUCCCUAAUUCUUCCAUGUGGGUGGGUGUUUUCUCUCUAAAUAGAUGAUGAGCCCUUCCAUAGACCAAAUGGCAUCUGAGAUCUCUUCCAAUUCUAGAGAAAUGAUCGGAUGAUCUUAUCAUCCUAAUGUUGGCUCAGAAAGAGGGCCAUAUUUGAGGCAGGAACUCACAAUGGAUAGAGGAGACAGUUAAAGCAGCCUUAGGAAAAUGGUAUUCUGGAGUUGACCUUAUCCUUAUACAGUUGACUUAUAAGUGAAGAAUGAAUGAAUUGGAUUGAAUCAAUUGAAUGAAUAAAUGAAUGAAUGAAAAAAGCA